RNAcentral lists this microRNA (22 nucleotides) under Parasteatoda tepidariorum (common house spider). Its description in RNAcentral is "pte-miR-11965-5p". Lineage: Eukaryota; Metazoa; Arthropoda; Arachnida; Araneae; Theridiidae. The record is from miRBase by way of RNAcentral.
GAUAAAGGAAUUUUUGUUCAUA